RNAcentral lists this ribosomal RNA (854 nucleotides) under uncultured bacterium. RNAcentral describes it as "bacterial SSU rRNA". It matches the Rfam family "Bacterial small subunit ribosomal RNA", at positions 66 to 933 of the family's 1533-position model. The record is from RNAcentral.
GCGGAAGUUUUCGGAUGGAAGCAAUAAACCUUAGCGGCGGACGGGUGAGUAACGCGUGGGUAACCUGCCUCAUACAGGGGGAUAACAGUUAGAAAUGACUGCUAAAACCGCAUAAGCGCACAUUGUCGAGUGACAGAGUGUGAAAAACUCCGGUGGUAUGAGAUGGACCCGCGUCUGAUUAGCUAGUUGGUGAGGUAACGGCCCACCAAGGCGACGAUCAGUAGCCGGCCUGAGAGGGCGACCGGCCACAUUGGGACUGAGACACGGCCCAAACUCCUACGGGAGGCAGCAGUGGGGAAUAUUGCACAAUGGGGGAAACCCUGAUGCAGCGACGCCGCGUGAGUGAAGAAGUAUUUCGGUAUGUAAAGCUCUAUCAGCAGGGAAGAAGAAAGACGGUACCUGACUAAGAAGCCCCGGCUAACUACGUGCCAGCAGCCGCGGUAAUACGUAGGGGGCAAGCGUUAUCCGGAUUUACUGGGUGUAAAGGGAGCGUAGACGGCUGUGCAAGUCUGAAGUGAAAGCCCAGGGCUCAACCCUGGGACUGCUUUGGAAACUGUGGAGCUAGAGUGCUGGAGAGGUAAGUGGAAUUCCUAGUGUAGCGGUGAAAUGCGUAGAUAUUAGGAGGAACACCAGUGGCGAAGGCGGCUUACUGGACAGUAACUGACGUUGAGGCUCGAAAGCGUGGGGAGCAAACAGGAUUAGAUACCCUGGUAGUCCACGCGGUAAACGAUGAAUACUAGGUGUUGGAGAGCAAAGCUUUUCGGUGCCGUCGCAAACGCAAUAAGUAUUCCACCUGGGGAGUACGUUCGCAAGAAUGAAACUCAAAGGAAUUGACGGGGACCCGCACAAGCGGU